Molecule: transfer RNA, 77 nt
Filed under: bacterium
Lineage: Bacteria
Description: tRNA-Pro
Rfam family: tRNA
About the family: Transfer RNA (tRNA) molecules are approximately 80 nucleotides in length. Their secondary structure includes four short double-helical elements and three loops (D, anti-codon, and T loops). Further hydrogen bonds mediate the characteristic L-shaped molecular structure. tRNAs have two regions of fundamental functional importance: the anti-codon, which is responsible for specific mRNA codon recognition, and the 3' end, to which the tRNAs corresponding amino acid is attached (by aminoacyl-tRNA synthetases). tRNAs cope with the degeneracy of the genetic code in two manners: having more than one tRNA (with a specific anti-codon) for a particular amino acid; and 'wobble' base-pairing, i.e. permitting non-standard base-pairing at the 3rd anti-codon position.
Source: RNAcentral
CGGGGAGUAGCUCAGUCUGGUAGAGUACUAGUUUUGGGAACUAGGUGCCGCAAGUUCGAAUCUUGUCUCCCCGACCA